GGAUUGUAGCUCAAUGGUAGAGUGCUUGACUUGCACAUGUGAGGCACUGGGUUCAAUCCUCAGCACCA
RNAcentral lists this transfer RNA (68 nucleotides) under Marmota monax (woodchuck). RNAcentral's name for it is "tRNA.Ala". The record is from RNAcentral. Lineage: Eukaryota; Metazoa; Chordata; Mammalia; Rodentia; Sciuridae.